This 1311-nucleotide long non-coding RNA is filed under the name Strigops habroptila (Kakapo). Its description in RNAcentral is "lncRNA (ENSSHBG00005016491.1)". The record is from RNAcentral. Lineage: Eukaryota; Metazoa; Chordata; Aves; Psittaciformes; Psittacidae.
GGGGCCGGGGGAAAGUUGGAGCGAAGGGGCCGGGACCGGGGGCACUUGGUGCGCGGCUCCAGGAGCGGGAGGAGCGGGCGGCGAGGCCCCGGGCCUGUGGGGCCCGAACCGCCAUGGCGGGAGCAGCGCGGCGGGGGAGGGAGCGGGGCGGGCAGCGGUGUCCCGGGCCGGGGCGGAGGGGACGCGGGCAGCGGGGAGACACGGAGCGGGACAAGGAGGAGAGCGGCGGAGGUGACUACGAGGGAGCGACGAAAAUGGGUGUGUUGGCAUCCUCCAGCACCAGAAAUAACCUCCUUGCACCUAUCCUGCUCACUCCAGUCUCUGCUUUCCAAGCCUGGAGAUAACAGAGGGACAGUCAGUACCUCGGGGAAGACUGGCCAAGUUGUUGCAGGUACAAAGCUGCCUGGCGGGUGGCCCGAGGACUUGGAAGCUGCACGUUGCUUUCCAGUAUUUGUUGAGGAGCUUUUGGUACCCUGUGGCUUGUGGCCGUGUCCUUGUGCUGGGACAAGGAGGAGGAAAGUGCUCUGGUGGCACUCCUAGAAGUGCUGCUGAUCAGGGGGUGCUCUUGGGGGGUGCCCUGUGUGUUACCUGAAGAUGUAUGAGAGCAGAAGGGAAGGGCAGAGCUCAAACAAGCCCUAAUCCAGCUCAGUCAGGAGGAAUCGGGGUUCUUUCAAAUCCCAUCUGCCCUCCGAUUUGUGGCCCAUAAAGCCACAGUCAUUCUGCUGAGGUUUGUGCCAUUUAAUGCUUCAUCUCCAAGUUUUCUGCUUGCUUGGUAACAACUCCAGGCACCGCUUUUGAGGUGCAGCCUCCCAAAAUCAUAUCGAAAGAGCUGGAGGUGUCUCCUCCCAUGAGGAACACGCAGAGUGCAGCUAUGGGCUGUGAGAUUUAUCUCUUCCCUUCUGUUCUAUAUUGGUGCUUUAUGACUUUGUCUGAGCUGGAUGUUUUGGAUGACAUUUGCUAAGCACAGCCUUUGCCCACCCUGGAGAGAGGCGUUUUCUACACGUUGGGUUGUCUCAAGGUACUGGUGGGAUUACAGUUGGUUCACAGAGUUAUUUAUAUCAAGGGUUAUUGAUUUACUGGGUAUCUCUUGCAGCAGGAGGGGUUUUGUCUGACAGAAGUUAAAUCUCUGCCUUCUUCCCCAUCACUUCCAGCUGGAUUUUACUUGUCAAGACAAGCCUCAACGUUUCCAAAGCCUCAGAGCAUCUGGCAAAGGGAACCUGAAUUCGUCGGGUUUGCAUUAGAUGUGCUGAGGUUGUUAGUGCUGUGAGCAGCAGUAUCUUGCCUUUAAUAAAGAGCAUGUUUAGGAGUAAA